Molecule: ribosomal RNA, 492 nt
Filed under: uncultured bacterium
Lineage: Bacteria
Description: partial 16S ribosomal RNA
Rfam family: Bacterial small subunit ribosomal RNA
Source: RNAcentral
AGUGAACGCUGGCGGUAGACCUAACACAUGCAAGUCGAACGGCAGCACAGUAAGAGCUUGCUCUUACGGGUGGCGAGUGGCGGACGGGUGAGGAAUACAUCGGAAUCUACUUUUUCGUGGGGGAUAACGUAGGGAAACGUACGCUAAUACCGCAUACGACCUACGGGUGAAAGCAGGGGAUCUUCGGACCUUGCGCGAUUGAAUGAGCCGAUGUCGGAUUAGCUAGUUGGCGGGGUAAAGGCCCACCAAGGCGACGAUCCGUAGCUGGUCUGAGAGGAUGAUCAGCCACACUGGAACUGAGACACGGUCCAGACUCCUACGGGAGGCAGCAGUGGGGAAUAUUGGACAAUGGGCGCAAGCCUGAUCCAGCCAUACCGCGUGGGUGAAGAAGGCCUUCGGGUUGUAAAGCCCUUUUGUUGGGAAAGAAAAGCAGCAGGUUAAUACCCCGCUGUUCUGACGGUACCCAAAGAAUAAGCACCGGCUAACUUCGUG